UCGACCUCAGAUCAGGUAGG
This 20-nucleotide ribosomal RNA is filed under the name Mattirolomyces mulpu. RNAcentral's name for it is "partial 28S ribosomal RNA". Lineage: Eukaryota; Fungi; Ascomycota; Pezizomycetes; Pezizales; Pezizaceae. The record is from RNAcentral.